This 293-nucleotide small RNA is filed under the name Pan troglodytes (chimpanzee). RNAcentral describes it as "sense intronic". Lineage: Eukaryota; Metazoa; Chordata; Mammalia; Primates; Hominidae. The record is from RNAcentral.
GAGACCCUGUCUCUAAAAACAAACAAACAAAAAAGCCAGGCGUGAUGGCUCACACCUGUGAUCCCAGCACUUUGGGUGGCUGAGGUGGGUGGAUCACUUGAGCUCAGGAGUUUGAGACCAGACGUCUCUACAUAAAAGACAAAAAUUAGCUCGGUGUAGUGGCUCACGUCUGUAGUCCAAGCUACUUGGGAGGCUGUGGUGGUAGGAUCACUUGAGCCCAGGAGGCAGAAGUUGCAGUGAGCUGAGAUUGUGCCACUGCACUCCAGCCUGGACGACAGAACAAGACCCUGUUU